ACUCCUGCGGGAGGCAGCAGUGGGGAAUUUUGGACAAUGGGCGAAAGCCUGAUCCAGCAAUGCCGCGUGAGUGAAGAAGGCCUUCGGGUUGUAAAGCUCUUUUGUCAGGGAAGAAACGGUGAGAGCUAAUAUCUCUUGCUAAUGACGGUACCUGAAGAAUAAGCACCGGCUAACUACGUGCCAGCAGCCGCGGUAAUACGUAGGGUGCAAGCGUUAAUCGGAAUUACUGGGCGUAAAGCGUGCGCAGGCGGUUUUGUAAGUCUGAUGUGAAAUCCCCGGGCUCAACCUGGGAAUUGCAUUGGAGACUGCAAGGCUAGAAUCUGGCAGAGGGGGGUAGAAUUCCACGUGUAGCAGUGAAAUGCGUAGAUAUGUGGAGGAACACCGAUGGCGAAGGCAGCCCCCUGGGUCAAGAUUGACGCUCAUGCACGAAAGCGUGGGGAGCAAACAGGAUUAGAUACCCCUGUAGUCC
This 469-nucleotide ribosomal RNA is filed under the name uncultured organism. Its description in RNAcentral is "partial 16S ribosomal RNA". It matches the Rfam family "Bacterial small subunit ribosomal RNA", at positions 335 to 796 of the family's 1533-position model. The record is from RNAcentral.